RNAcentral lists this long non-coding RNA (43449 nucleotides) under Vitis vinifera (wine grape). The record is from RNAcentral. Lineage: Eukaryota; Viridiplantae; Streptophyta; Magnoliopsida; Vitales; Vitaceae.
AGCUAUACAUCUCUUGCAGAGUUGAUCAUCGAGGAUUGCCCAAAACUGGUGUCAUUUCCAGAGAAGGGUUUCCCGCUCAUGCUUAGAGGUCUUGCUAUUUCUAAUUGUGAAAGUCUAAGUAGUCUACCUGAUGGGAUGAUGAUGAGAAACAGCAGCAACAACAUGUGUCACCUUGAAUACUUGGAGAUAGAGGAGUGUCCAUCUCUUAUUUGCUUUCCAAAAGGGCAGUUACCCACCACCCUUAGGCGACUAUUCAUAUCCGAUUGUGAAAAGCUAGUGUCUCUUCCAGAAGACAUCGAUGUGUGUGCCAUUGAACAGUUAAUUAUGAAGAGGUGUCCAUCUCUUACUGGUUUUCCAGGUAAGCUACCUCCCACUCUCAAGAAGCUUUGGAUAUGGGGGUGUGAAAAGCUACAGUCUCUACCAGAGGGAAUAAUGCAUCACCAUUCCAACAACACAACCAAUGGUGGACUUCAAAUCUUGGAUAUCUCGCAAUGUUCAUCUCUCACAUCCUUUCCUACUGGCAAGUUUCCCUCUACCCUUAAAUCUAUUACGAUCGAUAAUUGUGCACAGAUGCAGCCAAUUUCAGAGGAGAUGUUUCACUGUAAUAAUAAUGCACUUGAAAAGUUGUCCAUCUCGGGACACCCUAAUCUCAAAACCAUACCGGAUUGCCUCUACAACCUCAAAGAUCUUCGGAUUGAAAAAUGCGAGAAUCUGGACUUGCAGCCUCAUCUAUUGCGAAACCUCACUUCUCUUUCAUCACUUCAGAUCACUAAUUGUGAGACUAUCAAAGUGCCCUUAUCAGAAUGGGGACUUGCUAGAUUGACCUCUCUUAGAACUCUUACCAUUGGUGGCAUAUUUCUGGAAGCCACCUCCUUUCCUAAUCACCACCACCACUUGUUUCUUCUUCCUACUACUCUAGUUGAGCUUUCCAUUUCAAAUUUCCAGAAUCUGGAAUCCUUGGCCUUCCUGUCUCUCCAAAUGCUCACCUCUCUUAGAAAGCUAGAUGUCUUCCAAUGUCCUAAGCUCCAGUCGUUUAUACCAAGGGAAGGGCUGCCUGACAUGCUUUCAGAACUGUAUAUAAGAGACUGCCCGCUCCUAAUUCAAAGGUGCUCCAAAGAGAAAGGGGAAGAUUGGCCCAAGAUUGCCCACAUCCCCUGUGUGAAAAUAGAUGGCAAAUUGAUCCUUGAGCAAUAAGAAGUUGAGAUUGCAGCAAAAUGCACGCAGAGACUACCACUAUAUGUAAAUGCUUGGUAUUUUUCUUCAAUCUGCCACAAUUCCUUGUGUCAUUUGUUUAAUUUAUUAUUCCAAGUUUAUUUGUUUAAUUGAAUUGUCUCACGUAUCUUGCACAGUUGAAACUCAUCCAAUGGCAAAAAUUCUCCUUCACCAAUGACUGGUUUGCCAUCCAUGCUAUAAAGUCUCAUGCUUGAUGGUUAUGAAGGUUAAAAAUUCAGUAUUUCAUUGACCGAAGAACAAGAAGAAGAAGAAGAACAGAUUUAAUUAAAAAGGUAAGGGAACAAUUCAUGAAGACACCAAUGGUAACAGGACUAUAUGCUCUGCCUUAAUCACCCUAUCAUAGAGAUGAGUGAUCCAUCACCCUUAAUCAAAUUAUGAUUUUUUGUUGCAGAAACUGGAGUCAAUUUUAGCAAAAAAAAUUGCAGAUAAAACUUACUUGGAAGCUUUUGUAGUUGUACGAGUCAGAACUUUAUCUGGGGCCUCAUGACAUGCCUGUUGUUAGAUUGCAUAUCUACGCAACACACAUAGGCUAUUAAUUCCCUUUCUAUUAGAAUCAAGUACGCCCAUUCAUUAUAAGUAACUUUUUUGUUCUUAAGAAUUAGUUUCAAAAUGUUCAUUUUAAAGGAAUUCCAUUUCGUGCAUGUAGGGUGUGAAGGAGAAGAUAAUGCAAAUGGAAUCCAAUUCUCUAACCACAGGGUCAGCCAGUUAAAGUGAGUAUACUCUAUUUCAUUCAUGAUCUUUUUUGACUUUGUGCAUCUGAAUUGCAUUGUCCUCAAUAAGCUUCCUUUUUCCAUAUAUCUCUGUAUAAAAUUCUGCCUUUUUUUUCCUUACGUAUUCAUAGAUGUGCAUUUAUCAACAUAAGCUGUGUUCUUAAUGCUUUUAAACCUAUGACUUCACAUUUUUCCAUCACAGGAUUCUACCAUGUCUUUAUAAUUUUCCAUUUAUCAACAUGAUCUUUGUUCAACUUACAGGUUUUUCAAGUGAGUGAUAAAGAAUACAAAUGGUUAGAUAUCAGUCUUUUCUUUGUCCUCUUGAUUGCACUGCAUCUUUAUUUGGAAUUGGAUAUUCCUAUUUGUAACUUGUUUUUCUUGGGGUUUUUAAUUACAUUCCUUGUUACAAUAAGUCAGGAUUGGCCUUUUCUCAAAAAUAAUUGUUCUGCUUCUUGGUCUUCUCCUCAGUUAAUGCAAGCAUCAAAUUUCUACCUUUGUUAUAUCUGUAGAUAAUUUUCUGGUUUGAAUUGUACAGCACACCUAAAUAAUUCAAAGUUGCAGAAGUCUUGCUGGCUCACAAAUUACCAUCUCAUGUGGAUUUUGAAGAAAGGAAAUCUGCAACUUGAGAUACAAUGAGCUAUGAUCAUUCUUACAUUUUUAAAGCUUCUUCAUUUGUAUCGUAUGUUCUGAUGGCAUUUACUUUUUCUCAUUACACAUGCAUGAGGAAGAUUUUAUGAUUUCCAUUAUAAGUUUUGAAUAACUAUAUUUGCAUUUCUUUUUAUUUCAAGUAGAUGGAGGGGUGAAAAUUCUUUUGCAUGUUUGUUGAUGUUUUGCACUUAAAACUCUACUCUGGUGUUUGGUGUUUAAAAAGGGGUACUUCAUGCAGAUAAUGAAAGUAUAAAUAGUUCUUUACCAUAAAAAAAUGCUUCAUGGUUGUUAAGAUCCAUCUAAUUCUUUGUCCUUUUAUUGACAUGUUCUUCAACUUGUGGAAGACUUGGAAGGGAGAGCUUGAAUCAAAUUAAGCCAACACCUUGCAAAAGAUGAAUUCUGGCUAAGAAACCCCACUACUCUCAAGUUCUUUCUUAUCCAAUAAUUUUACAGCAGGUAAUUCGAGAUUAUGGUCUCAUAUUUGUAUUUGUUCAUGGUGAUGCACUCACUGUUUUCACUCUCAUGUUUUAAUCUGAUGGUGACACACUCUUCUUCUUCUAUGCAACCAUUAUGUGAUAAUAGUCAGAGCUCUGUCUUCCUUGAGUUCAAGCAGAGCUUUCUGAUUGAUCAGCAUGCUUCUGAUGAUCCUUCUGCUUAUCGAAAAGUUGCAGCUUGGAAAUGUGAAGGCGAAGGUAGUGAUAGAGGUUUUUUAGUUUAGAUUUUUUAAUAAAAUCAUAAUUUGUUGAUUAGAUAUUUAGUAGGUUGUUAUCUCUGUUCCUAUUUGUUAGGGUGUUGAGAUUCUCUUGGAAGAGAUCUUUAUUUGACUUGUAAUCUACAGCUUAUUCAAUAGGUUGGAUGAUCAUUUUCUUCAGAGCUACGACUCUCAGCUAGGGUUUCUUAAUGGUCAAUACAGCCAUGACCGGUGCAACUAGACCCACCAACUCAACCAAGGAAACGACAGAGGAAGUGUAGAGUGGCCCUGCUGUCUUAUUCAACAAUUAUGAAAAUUCCAACACUUUUCAGAUAACUGUUCACAGAUUCAAUGGCAAGAAUAAUGUAGAGUGGGCGCAAUCGAUGAAGCUAGUGAUAGAUGGCAAAGGCAAAAUUGGCUAUCUCACUGGUGAAGUGACAAAACCAGCAGAAAGAGAUCCCAAAUUCAAACCAUGGAGGUCCGAAAAUUCUAUGAUCAUAGCCGGGUUAAUAAACUCAAUGGAAAACCAUUUAUGUUUCUUCCAACUGCCAAAGAUGUAUGGGAUGCAAUUCGAGAAACAUGCUCGGAUUUGGAAAACUCGUCUCAGAUAUUUGAAUUGAAAACAAAGUUGUGGCAAUUGAAGCAACGAGAUCGAGAUGUGACGGAGUAUUACAAUGGGAUUUUGACUCUUUGGCAAGAAUUGGAUUUGUGCUAUGAUGACCAAUGGGAUUGUACUAGUGAUAAGACACGUGAAGAGAGGAAAAUGACAGAGCAUAUGUUUUUCUUGCUGGACUUAACAAAGAAUGGACGAGGUCAGGGAACGAAUUCUUGGGAGGAAACCCUUGCCAAAUAUUCAUGAAGUGUUUUCUAAAGUUAGGCGAGAAGAAGCUCAACGGAGAGUGAUGCUCAAAGAUGCUGAUCAAAAGCAUACAACUGAAUCUGAAAGUUCUACUCUUGCUUCUAGAAGAUUCGAACAUGAAGGAGACCACGGAUGAAAUUUUCUUUAUAUAUUGCUGAUAUAUUGUGUAUAGGAGAUUAUGGAAACGAUAUUAUGUGGGAAAAUAUCAUUUCGACGAAAUUUUGAGGAAAAUUGUCGAAAAUCAUCGAUAUUUAUCGAUAUAUGCGCUACAAUGUGGUCAAACACGCUGCAUUACCAACCAGCUACAGUGCUCCCUCAAAAAUGCCUUGCAAUUUGCAAUUUGCUUACCACCGGGGCAAGUUUGCUUCUUGUUAAAUAUAUUACACCAAACAUAUAUAUUCAAAGUCAUCAUAUAAACAAAAUAUUAAAAGAAUAUUCUAGAGAACAAAUUAAUUAUAACUAUUUUAUAAUUAAAUGCAAAAAUUUCUUUUAAUUGAUUAUCAAAAAUAUAAAAAUUAUCAUAAUAAUUUUCUUCAUAGUGUUUUUAAUAUCAUUAAUAAAUUAAUUAAAUAUUAAAAAAUUGUAUAUAUAUUAUAAUUUAUUUUAUAUCAUUUAAUACAAUUGAAUUAAAUAGAUUAUAAUUUUAAUAUUAAAUAUAUUUUAAAAUUAGACAUAUUAUAAUUAAAUAUCACAAUAUUAUUAUGAAAUAAUAUUUGAUGUAAUUUAAUAAUAAAUGUACACUUAUAAAAUUCAUAUUUUUUUAUCGAUUCAUUCAAUAUUAUUAUCAAAUAUGAUAAAUCAUAUUAUACAUAUAUUAAAUUAUUUAAUAAAACAACUUUAAAAUGUCAAUUAUACUUUUAAUUACAUUUUUAUGACGUUUAUAUAUAUCAAAUAUGUAUCGGUACUUCAAUUUUAUAGAUAUAUCAGAUAUAUCGAGGAUAUAUUAACAGAUAUUUUGGAAUAUAUAUAUAUUCAUGAUUACCAAUACUUUUAUCCUUGAAGGAUAUAAGCAAAAUAAUAAGUGGUUAGAAAAACCAUGGUGUGACUACUGCAAACGAGCCUGGCACACAAAGGAGACUUGCUGGAAGACACAUGGCAAGCCAUAAAAUGUGGAUAAAAAAUCCAGCAAUGAAGAACGUGCAUUUCAAGUUAACAGUGAUGACCAAGGGACAUAAACUUCCUUAGAAAUUUUUUCUCUCACUAAGAAACAACUAGAGCAAUUCUGCAAAUUCCUUCGAUCCCAAAUAAGUUUCCUUCAUGUUCAUUGGCCUAGAAAGGUAACUCUUAUUCCACUGCACUUACUUGUGUCAAUUCCAGUUCCCCAUGGAUCAUAAAUUCAGGUGCAUCGAAUUAUAUGAUAGGUUCAUCAAAAUUGUUUUCGUCUUAUACUCCCUGUACAGGAAAUAGAAAAAUAAAAAUAGCCAAUGGUCCUCUAUCGACCACAGCAGGAAAAGGGUCAAGAACUAUUUCUUCCUCAUUAACUCUUCACAACAUCCUUCAUGUUACAAAUCUUGUUUUGAGAAAACAAUCACAACGUACUUGUUUUGAGUUGAUAUCUAUUUCUCUUGACAAUGAAAUCGUGUUAUGACAUUUUAGAUUAGGUCAUCCCAACUUUUAGUAUUUGAAAUAUUUGAUUCCAAGUUUGUUUAAGAAUAAAGAUCCAUCUUUGUUUCAAUGUGAAAUUUGUGAAUUAUCAAAACAUCAUUGUGCAUCGUUCCCAUUACAACCUUCAAACCCACUAAACCAUUUUCAAUUAUUCAUAGUGAUGUUUGGGGGCAAUUUAGGAUUAAUACUAUUACGGGUAAGAGAUGGUUUGUUACAUUUAAUGAUGAUCUGUGGACCUGCAUUUUUCAUGUGUGUUCUCACUCAAUCGACGAGACUCGUUUUUUAUUAAAUAAAAAAUUUAGUUUUAGAAAAAGUUGGAGUGCCACUUAUUUUAUUUUAUUUUAAAGGGAAAAUAAAAUAAGAAAUAAAACCCUAAAAAAUGACUCCAUAGUUUUUUUGGAAAAAUGUGUUUUUAAAAAAUCCGAGUCUAGGUCUGGAGAUUAGGUUACUUAUUGGGAAGGUACCUCUAUGAGAUAGCACCUCUCUAAGCCUUAUAAAGGUCUCUACUGACUAAGUUAAGGGGAAUGUGACAAUUAAUUGAUUAAUUAUGGAUACCUAAGUGAGCUAGGUGAUUUCAAAAGAACAUUUAAGGUGCGUACCUGGACCACUUUUUAAGCGCUAUUAUAAAACAUCAAUGAUUAGUUUGAAUAAUAUAUCACCCAAUAUGCACUUUAUCAGAAAUAAUCAAACUAUGAAACAGAUAUCAAGACAUUUAAGCACUAUCAAACAUAGACAUAGUUCACAAUGACAAUCAUAUUUACAGAAUUCAGAAAAUAGGUGUUAGGGAGCAUACCUAGAUAGCAUAGAUAACUCGUAAUUCGCUUUCUUAGGGCAUGGGGGGCGAGGGGUUAGAUAAUAAAUAAUAAAAUAAGAAAUCCUAACACGCUUAUCUGAUUAGUAUAGAAAAAAAAAAUGAUCAAAGUAUAUUAAAUCAUCAAUCGUCACACACAUUUUGUAUACAAUUCCUAAAAAAUAGAUAGAUAUAUUUACAACAAAUAGCAAGGAUGGUAGCAAAAAUAAGUUUUGAAAAGAUUUUCUUAUGUAGGGGUUUCACCAAUUCCCCAAUUGAUAUACACGAAUUUAGCCUAGAAUUAUCCCAUUUAUUUGGGACCACAAGCAUUGAUUCAUGUUUUGUUCAAAACCAAAAUUUUCAUUGAAAACUGAAAAUGAUGCAAACCGAUCGAGAUAUGGUUGCAUAUUAUUUUGAAAAAAAGAGAUUUUGAUUCUAAAGACUCUAAAUGAAUUUUCUUUUUAAAUAGAUUUUUUUUUAAAGGAAUCUUUUGAGAAAAAGUGUUUUGUUUUAAAAUAAAAGAAAUUAAUUUUAAAAAUAACAAAACAUGGAAAACAAAAUGCCAACCAAAACAAAAGGAAACGAAAAUCACAAAAUGAAGAUUUAGACAAUCAUGCCAAUUAAAUUGGUGAGAGUAAGGUCAACCUUCAUGGGUUUCCAAUGGCCUUCAAAAAAAGAUUUGACCAACAAUCAUUAUGACAACAAACUUAUGACUUCCUAAUCAAACAAACAAACAAAAUAUUAUCUAAGACUAACAUCUAGAUUUCAAGAAACACAUGAAUUAAGAUAAGAAAAACCAAUCAAGGAUUAAAGUUAACAAAUUUAGCAUGUGGAGAUAAUAAUGUGGGAUUAAUUAAGGUAAAUUAACAUUCUAACAAAAUAUGAUAAAUCAAAAACCAAAAUUUAGCAAUCUUGAAAAUAUGAAAACAAUAACAUGCAAUUAAUUAGAUUGACUAUCCAAAACUCCUAAAAAAUUUGAACUAAAUAUUAAUAGAUCAAAGCCAAAAUAUGUCAUACUCAAAAUAUGAAAAAUAAUAACAUGUGAUUGACUAAAUUAAUUAACUGAAACUCUUAAAACAUUAAAACUGGAUAUUGAUGGAUCAAAAUUAAAAUUUCCAUACAUAAGACAUGAAAAUAAUAACACGUGAUUAACUAAAUUAAUUAACUAAAAUUAUAAUCAACUACAAAAUUGGAUAUAGAUGGAUUAGAAUCAAAAUUAACGAAAUCAGAAACGCAUAAAUACAUUCAAACUAAAACAUAAUUAAUACUAGAUUAAAUUCGAAUUAACAAAAUCAACAUCAUUUAAUAAGAUUGGCUAAACUAUCAAAUUGAAAUUGCAAAUAUAUUUAAACUAGAAUAAUUAAAUAAAUCAUCAAUUUAAAACUAAACUAAAAUUGAAAUUAAAAACAUGAAAUUUAUCUAAGAAGGUUAAUCAAACAAUUGAAUUAAAAUCAUGAACGCAUUAAAAUUAUAGAAUAAAUUAAGAUCAAACUAAAUUGAAAUUAAACUCUAUUUAAUAAGAUUAUUUAAAUCGAUGAAUUAAAAUUAGCAAAUACAUUUAAACUAAAAUGAAUUAAAACCAAACUAACUGAAAUUAAAAAAACACAAACUUUAUUUAAACUAUCAUAUAAGCUAAAGGAUUAAGAUCAACAAACGCAUUUAAACUAAAAAUAGAUUAAAACCAAACUAACUAGAAUUAAAAAAAAACACACACAAACUUUAUUUAAACUAUCAUAUAAACUAAAGAAUUAAGAUCAACAGAUGCAUUUAAACUAAAAACAGAUUAAAACCAAACUAACAAGAAUUAAAAACGCAAACUUUAUUUAAUAAAAUUGUUUAAACUAAUGAACUAAAAUCACUAACACAUUCAAACUAAAACUAAACUAAUCCCGAAUUUAAAAAUAUAGACUUUAUUUCACAAGAUUAUUUAAACUAAUGAAUUAAAACCACAAACACAUUCAAACUAAAAAGGUAGGUUAAAACUAAAUUAAUUCAGAAUUGAAAAAUAUAAUUUUUAUCUGACAAAAUUAUUUAAAGUAAUGAAUUAAAAUCACAAAUAUGUUUAAACUAACAGACAAAUUAAAAAGAAACUAAUUUUGGAUUAAAAAAAAAAUGAACUUUAUCUAUUAGGAAUAUUUAAACUAAGGAAUUAACAACACAAGCACACUUAAAUUAAGAGAAUAAAUUAAACUGAAAUUAAAAAUAUGUACUUUAUCUAACAGGAUUAAUAAAACUCACAAAUCAAAAUCUCAAAUAUAUCCAAAUAAAAAAAUAAAUUAAAACUAAACUAAAACCGAAUUAAAAGUGAACUUUAUCUAACAUAAUUAAUUAAGUUAAUGAAGUAAAAUCAAAAACACAUCCAAAUUCAAAAAAUAAAAUUAAAACUAAAUUAUAUCGAAAUUUUAAAAAACGGGAACUUACCUAGCUCGUGUCGCCGAUGCCCCUCUCGGAUGCAUGGCUCUUGUGCGUGUUACUCAAAAAAAUCCUCUUGAUAAGUCAAAGUGGCAACCGAAUCCUUGUCUGAAGUCCUCUGUUGUUCUCAAAAUCUGCGCGUGUCCUUUUUUUAAAAAUUGCUCUCAUGUGUUGAUCUCCAAAAAAACCCAAAAUUGUUCUUGUGUGUUUUCUUUGCCAAAAAAAAAAUCCUCUCAGGUGUUUUCUCUGCCAAGAAAAAAAUAUAUUCCAACUUUUUAUUCUCGUCCCUCUCUUAUUUAUAUGGCAACCUAUCAUUUCCAUGGAAUACUCUGUUUCUUUUUUUAAUUCCCGUGGAUAUAUGGAAAGUGCAUAUAUAUGGCUCACUUAGAGACUCCCUCAAGGAUGCAACCCUGUGUCCUAUUUGGUAAGUGUCCAAAUCCUAGUAAUCGCACCAUCGGCCAUGGAUUGGAGUGAUCGGGUUGGACAUUGCAGGGCCUUAUCCAAGAUCGACGAACAAAGAUUCAUCUUCUUUUCCCAUGGUGAAUGUCUGGCUAUGGAUUCUUCUUUUGCCUUCGGCAUUGGUUUCUUGAACCAAGCAGAUUUCCUCAGCGCUUCGAUGCUCAUCAUUUUAUUAGGAUUCGGAUCGAGCAACUGUGAUAUUAUCGAUCAUGCCGGCCUCGAGAUCCAAGGUAGAAACUGGUAAUCCCGUCGAUAGAUUUUUUGGUACAUUGUCACGAGAUUAUUAUCAUCAAACGGGAGAAAUUUGAAAAGAAAGACGAAAUGUAUAACUCCGUAAGGCCACGCGUCCGCCUUUGCGUCGUCAUGGCUUUUUUGAUAAACGACUUCCGGCGUUGUGUACUCAGGUGUGCCACAAGCGGUGUGGAGUAAGCUAUUCUUAAGUUGAUCUGGAAGCGCGAACAACCUGAAGUCAGAGACCUUGAGGUUACCGUCUUAGUCUAGGGGAAGGUUCCGCGGCUCCAUGUUGCGGUGAGCCACGCUGUUCUGAUGGCAGAACAAGAGGGUGAAUACUAGUUGCUGGAAGUAACAGCGCGUCGCUGCCUCAGUGAGACGGUUGCGGUGGUACCGUCUGUGAUGGAAAGGGCCUGGUACAGCUUGGCGAAGCUGCCUCGGCCGAGAAGGCAGCUGAGUUUGUAUUUGCCAAGGAUAAACUCGGCGGGGAGAGGUUCCAUGAAGGCAGGAGGAGGAAAUGUCGGCGGUAGUCGCAACUCUCAUUGAAGCAGCGUUGCCCAAGCUACCUGUGAUAAAAUGGAGAAUCCUUGAUAGUGUUGCCAUGCGUCCACCCUUUUUCAUUUUUUCAUUUUUACUUUUCUUUAACUCCUCUUGUUCUUUCCUCCCCAAUCUCCUAGAAUACUCCAAAACCCAAAAAUGAUGGUUUCUUGUGACGUCACCUUGCUCAUCCUAUAAAUGCUUGUGUAGUACCCUUCCAAAACGCAUGUGUCUACAACCUCUUAAAGCCUUCUGGGACCGAAACAUGGUGGUCACGUGAUGCUGGGACGCACACUAGAGAUGGAUAUAAAUUCCCAACUAAUGAUUUACGAAAAUAUUCUACAGAUGGCUUUCUCGAAUCCUCAUCGUUGCAUGUAUGCCUUUGCCUUGCUCAUAAUCUCCCCGAUAAUAAAAAAUUUCAUGCAAUUUUUCUCCUCAUGCAAAACAGAAUAAAAUAAAAUUGAAAGGAAUUUAAAAGAAAAGAAAAGAAACUAAUGAAAAUUAUGUGAGUUAUAGUGAAAUAUAAGAUGAUUAAAAGGAAAAAAAAGAAAGAAAGGAGACUAGAUUAUAUAGUUCCAUCAUUUAAUAAGAGGCCGCAAACAUCUUUAAAGUCUAAACAAUUCAAGCAAAUUUCUAUUAAAUAAAUAAAUAAAAAUAAAAAAGAUAAAUAAUAAUAAAAUAAAUAAAUAAAAUAAAAAUAACAAUAAUAAUAAGAAUAAGUAAAUAAACAAAAUAAAUAUGAUCAUCAAAUGCAUGCAAUAAUAAUAAAAAGAUUAUAUAAAAAGUUAAGCCCAAUGAAGUGUCUAAGCGGGCCUAAGGUAGUGCUUAAUGGGCCAUGUGUAUCUACAUAGACCUAGAGGGUGCUUAAUGAGUUUAGGGUGGCUAGGUGGACCUAACUAAGUCUAAUCUAAAGUGCACCUAAGUGAAACUUAAUCUAAACUUGAAGGAUAACCAAGGUCUGAAUGUGGGGCCAGAUAAACCCCUCAACCAAAGUUUCUAAAGUGGCUCAGAAAUGGUAAGCUACACGAGUAGUAAUGAGCCAUUAAAGAACCAUUGUAGAACAUUGGAAGUGAACUUAAAGAUAUAUGCUAAAAGGACAAAAUGAAGGGUGUCUACAGAUCACACAAGAAUUUGUUGGGUACAUCCAUUAAAAGGCAAAUCGAAAGUAGAAUAAGUUUUCAAAGCCUUUCAUAAGAUGAUUCAAACACAAUUUCAAGGAAAUGUUAAGGUUUUCAAAAGUGCUAAUGGGAAAGAGUUUUUUUAAAAAAAAUUCUAGGAAGAUAUUUUCUUGAAAACGGUUUCGUACAUCAAAGCUCUUGUAAUGAUACACCACAACAAAAUGGAGUAGUUGAAAAAAAAAAAAAAACAAACAUCUUUUAAAAGUUGAUGGAUCGUUAUUGUUUUCAACAAAAAUUCUUAAGUAUUUGUGGGGAGAGGCAAUUUUGGCAACAACUUAUUUGAUUAAUAAGAUGCCCACAUGAGUUUUGAAAUUUAAAACUCCAUUUGAUGUUUUCAAAACUUUUUUUUUUCCCACAUCAUGAAUUUCCUCUGAUUUACCUCUAAAAAUCUUUGGUUGCACUACAUUUGUUCACAUUCAUCAACAUAAUUGUGAAAAACUUGAUCCAAGGGCUAGAAAGUGCGUGUUUGUUGGGUAUUCUCCCACACAAAAAGGAUAUAAGUGUUUUAACCCAAUUUCCAUAAAAAUGUAUGUUACAAUGGAUGUGACCUUUUUUGAAAUAAGAUCUUUCUUCCAUAAGGCUCAUUUUCAGGGGGAGAGAUCAUGUGAAGAUUCGGAUCCUAUGAGUUUUCUAGAGUUGUUAGACAGUGAAGAAUUAGACAAUGGAUCUAGUUGUGGUGAAAGUUCCGGUUUGGGUUUAGGCUCGGGCUAUGAGGAGAUAGGCACGAGUGGUGGAAAGAAUAUGAUACAUAUUUCUCAAGACCCAAGGCCUACAUUAGAAAUUGGUAGAUCACCUCUAGAAAAUAUUGAACAACCACAACCAAGUCUGGAAAUUAAUAUUUAGGUGCUGAAAAUAUUGAACAACCACAACCAAGUCUAGAAAUUAAUAUUUUAGGUAUUGAAAGUGAGGGGGAGGCUACUAACAUGCAAAAAAAUGUUCAAAACACUAGAGAAAUAAAUACUGAUACAAAUGCAGGUAAAGAAUUGAUUGUUUACUCAAGGAGGAACCUGACACAAAAAAAUGAUGAUUCCACUUUACUGGAAGGCCAUGACUCCAAUCCGAGGACAGAUAAUCUAAAAAGACAUGAGUUAGAUAAAAACUCUUAUUUCGAAUAUGAUCUUCAUACUUCCAUUUUCCCAUCUGUGUCAUAACAUGAUCUGAGUGUUCCAAUUGCCAAUAGGAAAGGUGUUAGGUUUGUACUAAACCUCCUUUGUCCAAUUUUGUGUCAUAUAAGUGGUUAUCUCCCUCAUUUGCUGCAUUCACUUCACAACUUUAUAGUGUACAAAUUUCUAAAAGUGUGCAGGAUGCUCUAAUUAUUCCCGAAUGGAAGGAAGUUGUGCAAGUGGGUGUUCACAGUUAAAUACAACUAUAAUGGGUCACUAUAGAGAUAUAAAACUCAACUUGUUACCAAAUGAUUUACUCAAACCUAUGGCAUAGAUUACUCAUAAACAUUUGCACCGAUGACUAAGCUAAACAUAGUAAGAGUACUCCUUUCAAUAACCGUGAAUUUGGAUUGGCCACUACAAUAAUUAGACAAAAAAAAUGUUUUUCUCAACGGAGAUCUAGAAGAAGAAGUUUACAUGGAUUAUCCUUCAAGUUUUGAAGAUAAAUUUGGCUCAAAGGUGUGCAAGUUAAAAGAAAAAAAGUCCUUAUAUGGGCUCAAACAGUCUUCGAGAACCUAGUUUGUGAAGUUCACAAGGUCAGUAAAGAAUCAAGGUUACACUUAGGGCCAAAUUGACCAUGCUAUGUUCAUGAAGUUUUCAAUAGAGAGGAAAAGUAGCAGUUUUGAUAGUCUACGUUGAUGACAUUAUUCUAACAGGAGAUGACGUGAUAGAAAUGAACAGAUUGAAGAGUUGCUUGGCAAUAGAAUUUGAACUAAAGGACUUGGGCUCAAUGAAGUAUUUUCUCGGGAUGGAAGUUGCACAUUCUAAGAAGGCAAUGGAAAUAUGUAUUGGAUCUUUUAGAAGAAACGGGAAUGAGUGGUUGUUGACCUAUUGAUACUCCAAUGGAUCUUAACAUGAAUUUGUGGGAAGAAGGCAAAGAAACUUCAGUAGAUAUUGUUCGAUAUCAGAGAUUGGUAGGCAAGUUGAUUUACUUGUCACAUAGUUGGUUGGACAUCGCUUUUGCAGUCAGUGUGGUUAGUCAAUUUAUGCAUGCUCCUUAUGAAGAUCAUCUUGAAGCAGUUUACUGAAUUCUCAGGUACUUGAAAAAUACACCAAGGAAAGGAUUAUUCUUUUUUAAAAGCGAACAAAGAAAUAUUGAGGUGUUCACAGACGUAGAUUGGGCUGGAUUAGUAACAAAUGGAAGAUCAACCUUUGAGUACUGUACUUUUUUAUGGGAAAAUUUAGUGACUUGGAGAAGUAAGAAGCAAAGCAUGGUAGCUCAAAGUAGUGUUGAAGUCGAGUUUUGGGUAAUGACACAUGGAGUUUGUGAACUAUUGUGGUUAAAAAGAGUCUUGGAGGAGCUACAACAAGAAGCAAAACAUCCAAUAAAGUUAUGGUGUGAUAAUAUGACAACAAUUAGCAUUGCAUAUAACCCUAUCAAACAUGACCGCACCAAACAUGUGGAAUUGAUCGACACUUCAUAAAGGAGAAACUUGAAGAUGACAUCAUUUGCUUCCUAUUCGUUCCUUCAACUUAGCAAACUGCUGGCAUUUUGGCAAAGGUACUUCUUCGACCUAAUUUUGAGCAUUUAAUCAACAAGUUAGGUAUGAUAGAUAUCUAUGCUUCAACUUCAGGGGGAGUGUAAAAAAGAUAGGUUUUUUAGUUUAGAUUUUUUAAUAAUAUCAGAAUCUAUUGAUUAUGUUAGCCCAAGGGUUCUCCUAAUCAGGUUUUGAUGAUAACAAACCGUGGUUAAGUGACUAAUUGCUUUAAAUUGUUAAGAAUCUCAGGUAUAAUCUCAAGGACCAAACGAAUACGGGAUAAAGACCAUUUGGAAGACUUGUGAUCAUAGGAAAUGAAUGUAAGAUGAUAGCAUGAGUGCACUUAGGAUGUUCAUACAUUUUCAUGCAUCUUAGAAAACUCGGUUUAUUCUUUAAAACUUGAUUUUCUUUAAAACCCGAGUUUUAUCAAAUAUACCUUAGGCAAAUUGACUCAAAAUUGACAUAUUAACUCUCCUAAAGACCUUGCCUAAGUAUUGGAAAAGAAAGAAAUAAAAAAGGAUAGGUUUUCAGGGCCAAAAGGCUCAUCCGGUCGAGGCUAUGGCCAACCGGCUCAACCGGUUGGGGAACCGGUCGACCGGUUUCCCUUGUCCGGUCGAGGUCCGGUCGAGGGAGACACAAAAACUUUCUCUCUCUCCCAGUAGCUUCCUCUUCCCGGUCGAGCCUCACCCUUUGUCCGGUCGAGGUCUGGUCGAGGUCCGGUCGAAGUCCGGUCGAGGCAACGAUAACCUGCUAUGCAUUAAAUGCUCCAACGGCUAGUGAUCCGGUCGACCCUUUGCUCGUCCGGUCGAGGCUACUUUCUGCUGUUUUUGUCUCCCGAGCUUAGAAACCUAUAAAUUGAGAGCUCCUAUUCAUUUAUGACUAAGAGAACAAUUGCAUUCAAAGCCUACCUACCUGUUCUUGAUCAAAAAAGCUCUCAUCAUCUUUCUUAGUGCAUUAAACCAUCAAUUGCAUAUUCUUAGUGCACUCUUGCAAUUCAUCCUAGCUUUCUCUUGUACUUGAGCCUUCCUUAAGCUAGGUUGAGAGUUUCAUCCUUGUGUAAAUUGAGUGUGAAAGCCUUCAAGUGGUUCAAAUCUUGAAGAGAUUGUGUAAGAGCCCAUUGGAGCCGGAAUCCAAGUGUAAGACGAUUGAAAGCUUGAUUGUAGCUUCAAGCUAGUGUAACCCUCACUCGGUUAGGAGAUUGAGGAGAGUGGACGUAGGCAAGGGAGUGCCGAACCACUAUAAAUCUGAGUUUGAAUUCUCUACCUUUAUCUCUUUCCUUUAUUUAUUUUGUGCAUAUAUUGUUGUGUGGAAAAAGAUUUUGAAAAACCCAAUUCACCCCCCCUUUUGGGUAUUUUCCUUAAUUAUUCAUAGCCUUUGUUUUAUCAGAUUAGAUAUUUAGUAGGUUGUUAUCUUUGUUCUUAUUUUCAUGUUCCAGUUUUUUAGGGUGUUGAGAUUCUCUUAGAAGAAAUCUUUAUUUGUAAUUUGCAGCUUAUUCAAUAGGAUGGAUGAUCAUUUUUCCCCUAAAAUCUUCAUAGAGUGUGACAAGGACACUGCCCAUGUGAUUGGCCUUAACCUUGGCAACAACUAUCUCUAUGGUUCUAUCAACUCUAGUAGCACCUCUUCCACCUUGUGCAUCUUCAAGGGCUUGAUCUAUUUGAUAACGAUUUCAGUUCCUCUAAGAUCCCAUCUAGAAUUGUCCAGCUUUUGAGUUUAAGAAGUCUAAACUGCUCGUCUUCCAGAUUCUCCAGCCAAAUCCCAUUGGAGCUUUUAGUGCUGUCCAAACUGGUUGUCCUUGAUCUCUCACAAAAUCCAUUGAAGCACAACGCCAUUAACCUAACCUGGCUUUAGAUGCAGGGGUGAGAAACAUUUCAUUCUUUUAAUAUAAAAUGCUUUUGGGAAGUUGGUUGUAUCGUUCCUGGUGAAUGGUGAUUUCCCCUACCAAUUUGGUACACUUUCAGACUUGAUCUUAUGCAUAUCAUUGAAGAACCUUUUUUUUUUUCCUCAAUAUUUUGUUUUUAGAAAGAUUUUAACUAAAAAUAUUGUGCAAUUUCAUUUGAAAAAAUUUUCAAAUCCUCUUCUCUGUAAAACUAUGGAUCUUUAGUGUUCUGUAGACCCCUAAUAUUAGGAAUAUGGUGGUUUAUGUUUGAAUACACGUUUUUCUCUUUAAAUCCUUGAACCUAGUGUACCAAUAUUUCAAACAUUUUUUUUUGUUUACAGAUAUAUGCUAGAAAUAUGAUAGGGUGAUGAAAGCCAAGGAACCACUUUGGUGUUGAUUUGGAGAUCAAUCACUAAAAGGUUCAGAUGAUUUCUUUUUCUAGUUUUUUCUUAUUUAGGUAAGAUUAAGAGGUAUCCUUAUGGUGGCAAAUUCUUCUAACCUAAAGAUUAAGUGAUCAUUUGGUGAAACAAAACAUAAUUUAGAAACAUUCCCUCAUUCAGUCACUGUUGCUAGCUUUUAGGAAGCUGACAACAUUUACAGUAAUAAAUAAAUGGUACCCUGCUUUCCAUACUGAUCAUGUUACUCAGGGUAGGUUGCUUUUCUUGAACUUGAGCAUUUUUUUUUACUAAAAAUGAUGAAUUGAGACUAUAAUCUACUUCCAUUUUUAACAACUUGAGAAGGUAACAUUUUUCAAGCAAUGGCAUAAAAAAUCUGAAGAUGAUGAAUUGAGACUAGAAUUGCUCCUUGCUAAAGAAGAUGACAUUAAGAGACUCUUUCUUAGUAGAUGUAGGGGCUCCAUCCACUAAGUAAGCAUAGAUGUUCGGAAUGUAGAAACGCUCUUGAAACUCUCGUUUAAUAAGGAGUUUAAUAGGCUUUUCCGAAUGAGUACGGUCGGAACCUGCUCUUGUAUGGACAACUUUCUGGCCCUUACUAGCCAUUGGUAAAAGCCAUAUCCCCUCUUGAUGACAUGAUGAAGAAAUGGGUCGUGAGAAACCUACAUAGCACAACGACCGAUUGUCAUAAAAUAGUCGCCCAGUCCUUCUGACAACAGACAGUGCCUCAUAUGUACAAUAACUAGCUUACCCAAGCCUAAAAUCCACAUUUAGGAGAAGCACUUGGCCCAGCCUGUAGGGUAAACCCUAACCAAGAUCUCGCUCAACCAUACUCUCAUAGUGACCCCAAGCCAAAAGGCCAAUGUACACCCCUCAACGAACCAACAAAAAGAAAGCAAACCUUAACCCUACCAAACGCUACUUAUUCCCCAAAUGGUGAGUGUCUUCGCCAUAAAAACUUCAAAAGCCCUACAUUAUGGACCUCACAACGUCCAUUUCAUACCCAAAAAGCCCCAAAAUUGCAAAAAUAGUUCCAAGGCAGCAAACUAACCAACUCGAUAAACAAAAAAUUGAAACCAGAAGAAGGAAGAAGAAUGGGCUUACCAUAGUCUAAAAUGUGCGCGUAUAAGCAUAAAAUGACGCUCACCAAAAAUAAGAUAAGAAAUACAGUAAAGUCAUCGGAAAUGAUGAGCGACGAAGCGACGGAGUGCAGAACAAACGGUGGCAGCUGAAGUUGCAGCAAAGAAAAUACGGGAGAAGAAAGGAAGAAGAAGAGCUCCAAAGGCAGAAACAUCCAAAAAGGUACCCCAAGGGGUCUGGAGUCCCUUAUUUAUAGGGGACCAAAACCUUAGGGAUCCCAAAAAGCAGGUCGCCUGGGAACGCGCACCAAAGCGACAUGCCGCUUGACAGCGCCCUCGAUAAAAAACAACCCUCAUUUAAAUCCCUAAUUGACACAUGUCCCACACACAUUGGGGAAUUCCAGGGGGUAUUUUUAAACCCGUUCGUCUCUGUCGGACAAAGACACUCGUGUUAAAAAGGGGCAUUGUGGGGGCCUUCCCCACGUGCCAGUCCGUAUGAUGGUCCAUGUGGCACUCCUCUCAGUAUUGUACGGAUGGUCACCAUAGUAUCCGGAGCUUCCCAUCCGGGCCAUAUAGGCUGGUAGCUGAGCAACAUUAGACUUCCUAAGUUGACAACGUUUUCCGUAUAGCUUGCGACUCUCUCCUCUUGACAAAAGUAUGGAUGAUGGGACUUUUCCUGAUCUUCACAUCCGUGUCAGAAGAUUAUCACACAUUAGCAGGUUGAAGUGAUGAGCAAAUAUAUCAGGACACACCAUCUGAUGGCACCAACUAUCCACCUUAAAUUGCAAUGAUUACCCUACCAUCUACAAGAUAGCCAUUAUUGCAGUAAAAGUCAAAGCGCCAACACAACACUACAGUGGUUCCAUCCUAAGCACUAUAAAAGGCCCUCCCAAGCAAAACCCAUGUACGCAAGAAUAAAGGGCUAGCCCAUUCACUCUCCUCUUUAAAGGUUAAUCCUCAUCAUCACUCAGUCCAUUGUCACUAGGUAGAGGCUUUGAGUGGCACAACAAAAGGAAGAUCUAACUCUAGUUGACCCCAUAUCAACAUUUGGACUUCCAACAAGUUCAAAAAAAAAUUGACAGACACGUUAGUAGGAAAAACUCUUUUACUCAUUCUAGAUGACGUGUGGAACGAAAAUUAUUGUAAUUGGGAUCGUUUGCAGGCUCCUUUUAGUGUAGUGGCAAAAGGAAGCAAAGUCAUAGUUACAACACGUAAUAAAAAUGUUGCAUUGAUGAUGGGAGCUCUCUGGAAUGUUCAUGAACUAAACCCUUUAUCUGAAUAUAUGUGCUUGUUGGUCUAUGUUUGGGAAGCAUGCAUUUGAACAUAGAAAUAUCAAUGAUCAUCUGAACCUGGUGUCCAUUGGUAGGAAAAUUGUUGGCAAAUGUGGUGGAUUGCCGCUAGCUGCAAAAGGGUGUGGUGGUCUCUUACGCUCUAAGCAAAGCGAAGCCAAGUGUAAAAAAGUGUUGAAUAGCAAAAUGAGAGAUUUGUCAAGCACGGAAUGUGAGAUUCUUCCGAUUUUUUCAUCACUGGUCCUUAGCAUACACCAAUUCAAGUUGGUGGCACAAUGCUACUUUACUAAUAAAACAGUGGGUGGCAAAGGAACCAUCAGAGCCAUGGUUGGAUGGAGAGUACCAAGGAAAGGAAAAAAACAAAAAAAAAGUAAUAACUAGCCUUAUCAAUACAUCAAUUUACAAAUUUUUGAAGUACCUAAAAUAUUCUCAUUCUUUUCUUCCACAUUCAACUUUUAUUUUAUUUUCUUUUAUUUUUUUUCUCUUUUAAUCUUUUUCUUCUUAACAAAAUACCCUAAGAAAAAAAAUGUUUUUUAGGCUUAUCCUUUAUGUAAAUUUUGAUAAAAAAAAACUUAUAAAAAUAAUUAAAAAAUGAUUAGGAAGAAUUUAGAAAUAAUUUAAAAGUGAAAAGUUAUAAAAAGAAAAUGUAAGAAAAAUGAAAAAAAAAAAACCCUCAUUUCGUUGUGUUUGAAGCUGGAAAAGCCAUUCCCAUAUCACAUAAAUACUUCAACUUAAUGUGCCAAGGAGUGAUCUAGACUAGGAAGGUUGGACUAUAUUUUGAUGGUUGGACAAUAAAUAUUAAAUCUUGUUAAAUCUUGAAGUGCAUUUGAGAGUGUUUUUAAAAAACAUUAUUUCAAAAUUAUUUUUAAUAAAAAUUAAGUAUUUGAUAAAAUUUAUAAAAUAUUUUUAAAAUUAUUUAUAAUAUCAAAAAUCAUUUAUAAUGUUUUUCAAAGAAACAUUUUAUUAAAAAUAUUUUAAGUAAAAACUAUGUUUGAUAUUAAUUUUAAAAAAUAUUUAUAAUAUUUUUAACAUGAAAGGUAAAAGCUUUUGUAAUAAUUGAAAAUUUUUAAUAAAAAUAUUUCCUAAAAAGAUUGCAAGAGUAAAAAUAUUCGACUUUUAAGGGGGUGGGGAAUGAAUGUGUGCACAUCUCCGUAGUUUGGUUAUUUCGAUAAGGAUAUUUUUGUCCCAAAAGAAAUUAUUAUUAUUAAGAUAGAUGAAGAAAAAUUGAACGGAUGUAAACAUAAAUUCCCUAAAAAGAAUAUUAGAAUUAAUACCAUAAAAAGGUAAAAACAAGCCAAACGAGACCUUAGCGUAGAGUUCAAGGCUUGCCUUGAAUGAUGCCUUUACUGGAUCCCAACGGGUUUCGAUGCCUUUACCCUCUGCUGAAGCCUUCCCCACCGCAGAACCACUUUCACUUGGUUCCAUCUUCCCUUCUUACCUUUUGCUCUUUGUUUUCCUUUGCAGAACACCAUGGACAUUAUUGGAGACGCUCUUCUUUCCACUGUCAUUGAAUUCCUGUUUGACAAGUUGGCUUCCUCUGAUCUGAUGAAGUUCGCACGGCAUGAGGAUGUCCACACCGAGCUCAAGAAAUGGGAGAAGGAGUUGCAGAGCAUCCGGGAAGAGCUCAACGACGCGGAGGAAAAGCAGAUCACACAGGAGGCUGUCAAAUCAUGGCUGUUCGAUCUGAGGGAUUUGGCGUAUGACAUGGAGGACAUCUUGGACGAGUUUGCUUACGAAGUGAUGAGAAGAAAGCUGAUGGGGGCGGAAGCUGACGAAGCCAGCACAAGCAAAAUACGCAGGUUCGUUUCUAGUUGCUGUACUAGUUUCAAUCCAACUCAUGUGGUGCGUAAUGUCAAGACGGGGUCCAAGAUUAGACAGAUCACCAGCAGGUUACAAGAUAUUUCAGCUAGAAAAGCUAGAUUUGGCCUGGAAAAAUUGAGAGGAGCAGCAGCUACUUCCGCUUGGCAAAGGCCACCACCCACUACACCUAUGGCAUACGAACCUGACGUUUAUGGCAGGGAUGAAGAUAAAACACUGGUUCUUGAUAUGCUGCGCAAGGUUGAGCCCAAUGAAAACAAUGUUGGCCUCAUUUCCAUUGUUGGCAUGGGCGGGCUGGGCAAGACAACGCUCGCACGGCUUGUUUACAAUGAUGAUUUGGCCAAAAAUUUUGAACUAAGAGCAUGGGUUUGUGUGACUGAGGAUUUUGAUGUGGAGAAAAUAACAAAAGCAAUUCUCAAUUCGGUGUUAAAUUCUGAUGCAAGUGGGUCUUUGGACUUCCAACAAGUUCAAAGGAAAUUGACAGACACGUUAGCAGGGAAAACUCUUUUUCUCAUUCUAGACGACGUGUGGAACGAAAAUUAUUGUAAUUGGGAUCGUUUGCGGGCUCCUUUUAGUGUAGUGGCAAAAGGAAGCAAAGUCAUAGUUACAACACGCAAUAAAAAUGUUGCAUUGAUGAUGGGAGCUGCCGAGAAUCUUCAUGAACUAAACCCCUUGUCAGAAGACGCUUGUUGGUCUGUGUUUGAGAAGCAUGCAUGUGAACAUAGAAAUAUGGAAGAUCAUCCAAACUUGGUGUCCAUUGGGAGGAAAAUUGUUGGCAAGUGUGGGGGAUUGCCCCUAGCAGCAAAAGCCCUUGGUGGUCUCUUACGCUCUAAACAUAGGGAAGAAGAAUGGGAAAGAGUAUUGAAUAGCAAAAUUUGGGAUUUUUCAAGCGCGGAAUGUGAGAUUCUUCCUGCGUUGCGGUUGAGCUAUCACUAUCUCCCUUCAUAUUUGAAGGGGUGUUUUGCAUACUGUGCAAUCUUCCCCAAGGACUAUGAGUACGACUCAAAAACUUUGGUCCUCCUGUGGAUGGCUGAAGGUUUAAUUCAGCAACCAAACGCUGACAGCCAGACAAUGGAAGAUCUAGGAGACAACUAUUUUUGUGAAUUAUUGUCAAGGUCAUUUUUUCAAUCAUCAGGUAAUGAUGAAUCCCGUUUUGUGAUGCAUGAUCUUAUCUGUGAUCUCGCUCGAGUUGCUUCUGGUGAAAUAAGCUUUUGUUUGGAAGAUAACUUGGAAAGUAAUCAUCGAUCCACAAUUUCUAAAGAGACUCGUCAUUCAUCAUUCAUUCGUGGAAAAUUCGACGUGUUCAAGAAAUUUGAAGCCUUUCAAGAGUUUGAACAUUUACGAACAUUUGUGGCUUUACCAAUUCAUGGUACGUUUACAAAAUCUUUUGUAACUAGUUUGGUGUGUGAUCGUUUGGUGCCAAAAUUUCGACAGUUAAGAGUCCUCUCUUUGAGUGAAUAUAUGAUAUUUGAGCUACCAGAUUCUAUUGGUGGAUUAAAACAUCUGCGUUAUUUGAAUUUGUCUUUCACCCAAAUCAAAUUAUUGCCAGAUUCAGUGACCAACCUCUAUAAUUUACAAACAUUGAUACUAUCCAAUUGUAAGCAUCUUACAAGGUUGCCUUCCAAGAUCGGAAAUUUAAUUAGCCUUAGACAUCUCAAUGUUGUUGGAUGUUCAUUGCAAGACAUGCCACAGCAAAUAGGCAAAUUAAAGAAAUUGCAAACAUUGUCUGAUUUUAUUGUGUCCAAAAGAGGAUUUUUGGGAAUAAAGGAGUUGAAGGAUUUGUCACAUCUGCGGGGGGAGAUAUGUAUUUCAAAAUUGGAAAAUGUUGUGGAUGUUCAAGAUGCUAGAGAUGCCAAUCUAAAAGCUAAGCUCAAUGUUGAAAGGUUGAGUAUGAUUUGGAGUAAAGAAUUGGAUGGUUCGCAUGAUGAAGAUGCUGAAAUGGAAGUCCUUCUCUCUCUACAACCUCAUACUAGUUUGAAGAAACUCAAUAUUGAAGGUUACGGUGGUCGGCAAUUCCCCAACUGGAUAUGUGAUCCCUCUUACAUUAAAUUGGUGGAGUUAAGUCUUAUUGGUUGUAUAAGAUGCAUAUCAGUACCUUCGGUUGGGCAACUACCCUUCCUCAAGAAGUUAGUCAUCAAAAGAAUGGAUGGAGUGAAAAGUGUGGGGCUGGAGUUUGAGGGCCAAGUUUCUCUUCAUGCUAAGCCUUUCCAAUGCUUAGAGUCUUUGUGGUUUGAGGAUAUGAUGGAAUGGGAAGAGUGGUGUUGGUCAAAAAAGUCAUUUUCUUGCCUCCAUCAGUUGGAGAUAAAAAAUUGUCCAAGAUUGAUUAAGAAAUUACCCACACACCUAACUUCUCUAGUCAAGCUUAGUAUUGAGAAUUGCCCAGAAAUGAUGGUUCCACUUCCAACAGACUUGCCUUCUCUUGAAGAGCUCAAUAUUUAUUAUUGCCCAGAAAUGACGCCACAAUUUGACAACCAUGAAUUUCCCCUUAUGCCACUGAGGGGAGCAAGUAGAAGUGCAAUUGGCAUCACCUCACAUAUUUAUUUGGAAGUUAGUGGAAUAUCACAGCUUUCCAGACUUCAGCCAGAGUUUAUGCAGUCCCUUCCGAGGCUUGAACUUCUAGAAAUUGACAAUUCUGGUCAGUUGCAAUGUUUGUGGCUGGAUGGGUUGGGAUUAGGAAACCUCUCUCGUCUUCAAAUAUUGAGUUGUGACCAACUUGUGUCCUUGGGAGAGGAGGAGGAGGAAGAGCAAGGGCUGCCUUACAAUCUUCAGCAUUUGGAAAUACGUAAGUGUGAUAAGUUGGAGAAGCUUCCACGUGGAUUACAAAGCUAUACAUCUCUUGCAGAGUUGAUCAUCGAGGAUUGCCCAAAACUGGUGUCAUUUCCAGAGAAGGGUUUCCCACUCAUGCUUAGAGGUCUUGCUAUUUCUAAUUGUGAAAGUCUAAGUAGUCUACCUGAUAGGAUGAUGAUGAGAAACAGCAGCAACAACGUGUGUCACCUUGAAUACUUGGAGAUAGAGGAGUGUCCAUCUCUUAUUUACUUUCCACAAGGGCGGUUACCCACCACCCUUAGGCGACUACUCAUAUCCAAUUGUGAAAAACUAGAGUCUCUUCCAGAAGAAAUCAAUGCGUGUGCCCUUGAACAGUUAAUUAUAGAGAGGUGUCCAUCUCUCAUUGGUUUUCCAAAAGGUAAGCUACCCCCCACUCUCAAGAAGCUUUGGAUAGGAGAGUGUGAAAAGCUAGAGUCCCUACCAGAAGGAAUAAUGCAUCACCAUUCCAACAAUACAACCAAUUGUGGUCUUCAAAUCUUGGAUAUCUUGGAAGGUUCAUCUCUUGCAUCCUUUCCUACUGGCAAGUUUCCCUCUACCUGUAAAUCUAUUAUGAUGGAUAAUUGUGCACAGUUGCAGCCAAUUUCAGAGGAGAUGUUUCACUGUAAUAAUAAUGCACUUGAAGAGUUGUCCAUCUUGAGACUUCCUAAUCUCAAAACCAUACCAGAUUGCCUCUACAACCUCAAAGAUCUCCGGAUUGAAAAAUGUGAGAAUCUGGAUUUGCAGCCUCAUCUAUUGCGAAACCUCACUUCUCUUGCAUCACUUCAGAUCACUAAUUGUGAGAAUAUCAAAGUGCCCUUAUCAGAGUGGGGCCUUGCCAGAUUGACCUCUCUUAGAACUCUUACCAUUGGUGGCAUAUUUCUGGAAGCCACCUCCUUUUCUAAUCACCACCACCACUUUUUUCUUCUUCCUACUACUCUAGUUGAGGUUUGCAUUUCAAGUUUCCAGAAUCUGGAAUCCUUGGCCUUCCUGUCUCUCCAAACGCUCACCUCUCUUAGAAAGCUAGGUGUCUUCCAAUGUCCUAAGCUCCAGUCGUUUAUACCAAAGGAAGGGCUGCCUGACAUGCUUUCAGAACUGUAUAUAAGAGACUGCCCACUCCUAAUUCAAAGGUGCUCAAAAGAGAAAGGGGAAGAUUGGCCCAAGAUUGCCCACAUCCCCUGUGUGAAAAUAGAUGGCAAAUUGAUCCUUGAGCAAUAAGAAGUUGAGAUUGCAGCAAAAUGAACGCAGAGACCACCACUAUAUGUAAGUGCUUGGUAUUUUUCUUCAAUCUGCCACAAUUCCUUUUGUCAUUUGUUUAAUUUAUUGUUCCAAAUUUAUUUGUUUAAUUGAAUUGUCUUGCAUGUCUUCCACAGUUGAAACUCAUCCAAUGGAAAAAAAUCUCCUUCACCAAUGACUGGUUUGUCAUCCAUGCUAUAAAGUCUCAUGCUUGAUGGUUAUGAAGGUUAAAAAGUCAGUAUCUCAUUGACAAAACAACAACAACAAGAACAGAUUUAAUCAAAAAGGUAAGGGAACAAUUCAUGAAGACACUAGUUGUAACAAGACUAUAUGGUCUGCCUUUAUCACCCUAUCAUAGAGAUGAAUGAUCCAUCACCCUUAAUCACAUUAUGAUUUUUUGUUGCAGAAACUGGAGUCAAUGUUAGCAAAAAAAUUGCAGAUAAAACUUUCUUGAAAGCUUUUGUAGUUGUUUGAGUCAGAACUUUAUCUGGGGCCUCAUGACAUGCCUGUCGUUAGAUUGCAUAUCUACGCAACACGCAUAGGCUAUCAAUUCCCUUUCUAUUAGAAUCAAGUACGCCCAUUCAUUAUACAUAACUUUUUUCUUCUUAAGAAUUAGUUUCAAAAUGUUCAUUUUAAAGGAAUUCCAUUUCGUGCAUGUAGGGUGUGAAGGAGAAGAUAAUGCAAAUGGAAUCCAAUUCUCUAACCACAGGUCAGCCAGUUAACGUGAGUAUACUGUAUUUCAUUUAUGAUCUUUUUUGACUUUGUGCAUUUCAAUUGCAUUGUCCUCAAUAAGCUUUCUUUUCCCAUAUAUCUCUAUAUAAAGUUCUGCCUUUUUUUUUCCUUACGUACUCAUAGAUGUGCAUUUAUCAACAUAGGCUGUGUUCUUAAUGCUUUUAAACCUAUGACUUCACAUUUUUCCAUCACGGGAUUCUACCAUGUCUUUAUAAUUUUUCAUUUAUCAACAUGAUCUUUUUUCAACUCACAGGUUUUUCAAAUGAGUGAUAAAGAAUGCAGAUUGUUAGAUAUCACUUUUUUCUUUGUCCUCUUGAUUGCACUGCAUCUUUAUUUGGAAUCGGAUAUUUCUAUUUGUAACUUGUUUUUCGUGGGGUUUUUAAUUACAUUCCUUUUUACAAUAAUUCAGGAUUGGCCAUUUCUAAAAAAUAAUUGUUCUUCUUCUUGGUCUUCUCCUCAGUUAAUGCAGGCCUCAAAUUUCUACGUCUUUGUUAUAUCUGUAGAUAAUUUUCUGGUUUGAAUUGUACAAUACACUUAAAUAAUUCAAAGUUGCAGAAGUCUUGCUGGCUCACUAAUUACCAUCUCAUGUGGAUUUGGAAGAAAGGAAAUCUGCAACUUAAGAUACAAUGAGCUAUGAUCAUUCUUACAUUUUUAAAGCUUCUUCAUUUGUAUCAUAUGUUCUGAUGGCAUUUACUUUUUCUCAUUACACAUGCAUGAGGAAGAUUUUAUGACUUCCAUUAUAAGGUUUCAAUAACUAUAUUUGCAUUUUAUUUAUUUCAAGUAGAUGCAGGGGUGAAAAUUAUUUUGCCUGUUUCUUGACAUUUGGCACUUAAAACUCUACACUGGUGUUUGGUGUUUAAAAAGGGUUACUUCAUGCAGAUAAUGAAAGUAUAAAUAGUUCUUUACCAUAAAAAAAAAGCUUCAUGGUUGUUAAGAUCCAUCUAAUUCUUUGUCCUUUUAUUGAUAUGUUCUUCAACUUGUGGAAGACUUGGAAGGGGGAGCUUGAAUUAAAUUAAGCCAACACCUUGCAAAAGAUGAAUUCUGGCUAAGAAACCUCACUACUCACAAGUUCUUUCUUAUCCAAGACUUCUACAGCAGGUAAUUUGAGAUUAUGGUCUCAUAUUUGUAUUUCUUCAUGCUGAUGCGCUCACUGAUUUCACUCUCGUGUUUUCAUCUGAUGGUGACAACUCUUCCUCCUCUAUGCAGCCAUUAUGUAAUAAUAAUCAGAGCUUUGUGUCACUGACUGUUUGUUUGGUGUUUGUUACCGUAGUGAAGGUGCUGAUCAAGAAUACUAUGUUGACUUGUUUGAGCUGAAUGUAAUGGGAAUUGCUCCAGGGAAAGGGCGUGUAUGUGAUGUUGGAAUGCUUCUUCAAAGUUCAGGCAGGCCGACCCAGUUAUGUUUGGGGAGCUUGUCGCUAGUUAAAGACUUGACAAUGAAGAAGACCUUAGCCAUCUCCUACACAAACUGGUCGGGAGUUGGAGCCGUUCCCCUGAUGAGUCCAUGGCAGGACGAAACCAGUCAGCAUAGUGGGAUUGAAAUGCAUGGUGUGCAGGCUGAUCCCCUUUGAUUCUUGCCCAUGGGGUUGCCGCAUGGGCCAUGCCGCUGCGUUGGAACUCUAGGCUCGUGAUAUCUGUCUUGCUUGAGUUCAAGCGAAGCUUUCUGAUUGAUCAACAUGCUUCUGAUUAUCCUUCUGCUUAUCAAAAAGUUGCAGCUUGAAAAUGUGAAGGCGAAGGUAGUGAUUGCUGCUCAUGGAUUUGGUAGAGUGUGACAAUGACACUGGUCAUGUGAUUGGCCUUAACCUUGGCAGCAGCCGUCUCUGUGGUUCUAUCAACUCCAGCAGCACCUCUUCCACCUUGUGCAUCUUCAAGGGCUUGAUCUUUCUGAUAAUGAUUUCAGUUACUCUAAGAUCCCAUCUGGAGUUGUCCAGCUUUUUAGUCAAGAAAUCUAAACCACUCGUCUGGAGCUCUUAGUGCUGUCCAAACUGGUUGUCCUCGAUCUCUCACAAAAUCCAUUGAAGCGCCAGUAACCUGACCUGGCUUCACAUGCAGGGGUGAGAAGCAUUUCCUUCUUGUAAUACAAAAUGCUUUUGGGAGGUUGGUUGUAUCAUUCCUGGUGAAUGGUGAUUUCCCCUGUCAAAUUGGUACACUUUCAGACUUGAUCUCUUGCAUAUCAUUGGAGAACCUUUGUCUUUUUUCUUUUUCCUCAAUAUUGUCUUUAGAAAGAUUUUAACUAAAAGUAUUGUGCAAUUUCAUUUGAAAAAAUUUUCAAAUCCUCCUCUGUGCAGACCCCUGAUAUUAGGAAUAUGGUGGUUUAUGUUGGAAUACACGUUUUUCUCUCUAAAUCCUUGAACCCAGUGUAUCAAUAUCUCAGACAUUUCUUUUUGUUGACAGAUAUAUGCUGGAAAUAUGAUAGGGUGAUGAAGGCCAAGGAACCACUGUGGUGUUGAUUUGGAGAUCAAUCAGUGAAAGGUUCAGAUGAUUUCUUUUCUAGUUUCUUCUGAUUUAGGUAGAUUAAGAGGUAUCCUUAUGGUUGCAAAUUCUUCUGACCUAAAGCUUAAGCGAUCCUUUGGUGAAACAAAACAUAAUCCAGGAACAUUCCCUCCUUCAGUCACUGUUGCUAGCUUUCAGGAUGCUGACAGCAUUUACAGUAGUAAUAAAUAAAUGGUACCCUGCUUUCCGUAGUGAUCAUGUUAGAGUAGGAUUUUUUUUAUUUGACCUCUACAGGUGGCUUUUGCUGAGAAGUAAAAGUCAUUACUCAGGGCAGGUUCCUUUUCCUGAACCUGAGCAUUUUUUACUGAAGAUGAUGAAUUGAGACUGGAAUCUACUUCCAUUUUUGACAACCCGGGAAGGUAACAUUUUUCAAGCAAUGGCAUAAACAAUCUGUGGUGUUGGUCCAUCUUUCCUAAAUUAAAUAUUUUGUGAUGGAAGUAGGUUACUACAACUUGUUCUUUGUUUCUGCCAACAAAACUGAUGUGCUGGAUUGGAGUUGAGGAUUUUUUUUUUAUUCCUUCAUAAUUGUUUGAGUGUGUUUGUGAUUCAUUCUUGAAUGAUUUUCUUCCCCUUUUACCUGAGUUUACCAAUAUGUUAGACUCUCCUAGGGAACAUGUUCAUACACUAGAUUGUGGACAAUAAUAAUAAAUAAAAAUAUUUAAAUGAAAGCAUGUCAGAUCUUAUAUCCCUAAAAUGAUCUUCUAUUUGCAACUAAAGUAGCCUCAUUUCGAACAUUGUGAGUAAAAUGGGCUUGUUUCAGUUUUUAGAACAAAGCUGAAGGAACCUUCAUAAUUUCAUUCCAUGGAGUCCUCAAUCAAACCCUAAGUUUUCUUAAAGAUGAGGUUUAUAGUAGGUGAGAGGAGGGGUAAUGAUUUCAGAAUGUUCUGCCUGUUUGGAGCCAUUUAUGUUUCCCUCGGUUUUCUUAAUCUAAUCAUUUGUGUCUUGUCAUAUAUAUUUUUAUUCAGUUCACAGUUGAAGUAAUGUAAAUCACUGAUUGCUAGCUUGCUUCACACAGAUACAUGCAAGUCACUGAAGCUAAAUGAAGGUCGUGUUUUGAUGUUUUCAUGUAAACUUGGAAGGAUCACGAUGUAAUACCUCAAAAUGUCAAGAAGUAAGUAAUAUCUGUCCUCUGCAUGUACAUUUUAGUGUUAAUCAUUUCUCAUUAGUAUCUAGGAUUCUUACUUGAUAGUUAAAGAAGUUCGCAUUUCAGUUGUGUCUUGUAGAUCAUGCUUUUGGAAGCUAGUCACAACCCCAAAGCUGGAGUGCUUCAUCUAUAUAUGUCCCCUGUGAACUCCCAAUUCCCAAACAGGGCAUUGUAUAUUGUAUGCCUAUCCUAGAGUUCUAUCAGAUGGAUGGAAAGCCAAUCAUGAAGAAAUAUAAAAACAAGGCUGUCUUAUGUAUAUGGGUUGCAACCUGCUGUUCUGUGGGACAAGCGAUCCAAUAGUCAAGAGGAAGGUAGUUGCUGAGAAUGAAUAUGGAAGAGAGCAUUUAUAGAAAAUUUGAAGUUCAAAAACUUGAGGACCAGAUUACCUGUCGAACUUGAGAAAAGGGCAUAUCAAACCACACUCAAAACAAGUGAAAUAUUAUUUGUCUGAUGAUGUUGACUUGAGACAUGGGUGGAGUAUUGAGGAUCAUUCACUGAAUUCCUAAUGUAAAACACAAGCAAGUCUUGCCUAUAUCAUUCAUGGUUGCUGGAUUUGUUGUUCAUUGUAUUUAUCACAAAGCUACCUCUUAUUCUCAACAAAUCAUUUACCUUCAAUCGGAAAUUCAUAUUCUUGUGCUCUAUAAUUUUGUUUGGUUGUAAGUUAAAAAGAAGAAAUUGAAAGAAAAACUCGUAUUGUUUGGUUGCGAUUAAAUUUGUUUUCAGGUUUAUUUUAAAUUUUUAUAUAAUUUUUUUUAAAAAGAUGUAAGAAUAAUUUAGUAUUGUUUAAAUACAUUUAUAUUAUAAAAUAUGAGAUUCUAUACUACUGUGGUAACUUGUGGAUGAUCAUCCAUAAAUAUCUUUUAUAACUCUUUAUAAAAGGGAGAGACCCCUAAUGAAAUUGUAGAGAGUUAUCUUGUGCAUUCUAUUUUUUUUUUUUUUUCUUCUCUCACUUUGUUUUACAAUAAUUUACUAUUUUUUAUUUUUAAAUUAAAAAGUAAAAAAAAUUAUAUAAGAUACAAGAAUUUUUAGAAAAUUAUAUUUAAAAAAUUAAUAGUAUUAAAAAAUUAAGGUUUAUUUUUGUAUUUUUUCAUAUUUUAAUAUUUUUAAAAGUAAUUUUUAAAAAAUAUAAGACAAAUUUAUAUAAAUAUAAAGUGUUCUACUUCUAUAUAGAUAUUUAUAAUUUUUUAAAAAUAGAAAAUAUAUUAAAUGGCCUAAACUUGUAUUUAAAAACAAAUUUAAGAAAACAUGGUUAAUUGGGUCAUUUUUUCUUUUUAUUUUUAAAAAUUGAGAAAACAAUUUUUUUUAAAAUUAUUUUUUAUUUUACUUUAUUUUUAAAAAUUACUUUUAGAGAACAAUUAACAAACAUUAUUAGAAAAUUUAAAAAACAGCUUUCUAUUUUUUAAAAUAGAAAACUGCUUUUAAACCACACGUCCAAAUAAAUUCUUAGCUUUUUAUUUUAAUUCCUUGAAAACAAUAUUUUAAAAUAAAAAUUAAUAUUAAGCUAAUAAUAUUAUUUUCUCAACUUAUCAACAUUUAAAAGUACUGAAAUCUAUUCAGAAAAUCAUUAAUAAUAAAAAUCACAAAUAUUAAAUGUGUUAAGGGAAAAUUCUAGGGUACUUCCUAUGGUAUCGUACCCAAAAGUUUUUAAGCCAUUGGAUGUCCAAGAUUACAUCUUGGUCAUCCAUUUUAAAUUUGAAAUAAAAAUUCCACUUAACCGGUUAAGGGAAGAACCGGUUGUGGCCUUCCACCGUCUCCUUUAAUUUCUUCCUUUAUUCUCAACAAUUUUGGAUUUAAAUAAAAUAAAUCUGAGAUAAAUAUUGAGAUAAAAAUAGAAUUGGAAAAAAAUAAAAAUAAAAUUGAUAUAAAAUUUGAAAACGUAUUUAUUAAUAAAAAAAUCAUCAUAUAUCAUGAUUACAUUAUUUUAUUUUUAACAAAUUAUUAAACAUUUAAAUUCAACAUAAAAAUGAAUAUGAUAAUAUCUUAAUAUGAAAUAAGUAUUUUCAGUAAAAUUCGACAUUUAGAUAAUCAUAUGUAAAGCUUAGGUAAUUACAUCAUCCUAAUUUUAUCCGUACUCUCAAAAUUUUACAUUUUUUGAAUUUAAGGUUUUUAAAUUUAAAUUACAAUAAAAUAAAUUACUAAUACUCUUUUGAGUUACUAAUGAUAGUAUUUUAGAAAAUAAAUUUGUAAUUUCAAAAAUUUGAAAACUAAAAAUCAAUAUGAAAAAUGUGAUUAAAGUACCAAACAUGUAUUUAUCAUGGUUUUAAAAAUGAGAUCGGACUGGCUGGUUCAAACAAUAGCCGGUCACGGUUCCGAACCGGUUUGGUUAAUUAGACUGGAAAUAGAUUGAACCAGGAUUGAACCGAUUGAACCAGGAUCGGUCCGGUUGAACCGGUGGUCCGACCGGUGAAUCAGUAUUAAUGCUUUUGACAUCAAAACAACGUCGUUUUGGAGGAUAUAAAGCCUCAUUCUCCAAACCCUCCCUUUCUAAACUGCAGCUGCAGCCCGCCCCCAACACGCCGCGAUAGGCUCCCAUUGUUGGUCGUUUCAUCGUGCAAAGUCUCCCUCCACCGGCCUUUGCAAGAUCACCGUCGCUUGAGUCGCAUUUUCCCCGUCACGCUGUUGCGAGUUGGCAAGCCACCCCCUACCGCUGGAACCCCAGCUGUAAACCCUCUCCGACAGGCUGUAACCUCCCUCCCUCCCGGAUGUAAACCCCCCCACCUCCCUGCGCUGUAAAGCCCCCCCCUUCCAAUCUUGCCUUCCUUCCAUUUUUGUUUUUAAAAAUUUAAUUUUUAUGUUUUAUAUUUAAUAUCUUAAUAUUUAAUUUCUUAAUUUUUUUGUAGAUUAUAAUUGUAAUGAUAGCUUUAAUAUUUAAAUUUUUCAUUUUUAUUUUAUUUAUUUCACAUUGAAAUUUUAAUUUAUUGAAAUUAUUGAAAAUAUUGGGUUGUUGAUGAUAAAAUUUAGAUAGAAUUUAUUAUUUUUAUUUAUUUAUUUUUAAUUUUAAUAAUUAAUAUAUAUAUAUAUAUAUUAAAAAUUUUCAUUUUUAUUUUAUUUAUUUCACAUUGAAAUUUUAAUUUAUUGAAAUUAUUGAAAAUAUUGGGUUAUUGACAAUAAGAAAAACUUUAUAAAAAAAAUCAAUAGAUAUUAUUAAAUUUUAGAUAUAAUUUAUUAUUUUUAUUUAUUUAUUUAUAAUUUUAAUAAUAUAUAUAUAUAUAUAUAUAUAUACUGGUUCGACCGCCAAUCCAAUCAGUGAACCGUGAACCGGUAACUUUUUCGGUUCGAUGACCGGUCUAGUUCUAAAAACAUUAGUAUUUAUCAUAUUUUUCGUACCCUAAAUUAUUUAUAUUUUUAAAAUUUUAGAUUUACUUUUUAACUUGAAAUGACAAUAACAUAGUUUAAUAAUAUUAUUUUAAGUUAUUAUUGAUAGAAUUGUUACAAAAAAAAAUUAAAAAAAUUAAAAAUUGGAAAUGAGGUAAAUUAUCCUUAAAAAAAUUUAGAAAAUUAAAACACUAAAAAAUUAGGAAGGAUACGAAAAAUGUGAGAAAAUGUAUGAAGAUUAUGAGGAAUCUUUAGAUUCUCUGUACCCUUCUUCACAAUAAUAUUGUUUAUUGAUACCAAUUAAGCUUAGAAAUGAUGAAAAUUAUUUUUAAAAAAAUAAAAAAUUUAAAACACUAAGUAAUCGUAGAGGGUACAAAUAAUGUGAGCAAUCCUCACAUUCUUCAUACCUUACCUCACAUUCUCCGUAUACUGAAAUUUAACAAAUUUUAGAAUUUUUUUUCCACUUAAAAAUACAAAUAAUAUUGUUUAUUGAUACUAAUCAAGCUUAGAAAUGAUGGAAAUUAUUUUCAAAAAUAAUUAAAAAAUUAAAACACUAAGUAAUUGUAGAAGGUACGAAUAAUGUAAGGAAUGGUACAAAGAAUGUGAGGAAUCCUCACAUUCUUAGCACCCUCUAUCACAUUCUCUUUACCCUCGAAAAUGUUACAAAUUUUCAAACUUUUCAAUUUUUUUUUUCCAUAUGGAAAUACAAUAAUAUUGUUUAUUGAUACUAAUUAAGCUUAGAAAUAAUGAAAAUUACCCUUAAAAGAAAUUAAAAAAAUUAAAGCAUUAAAAAUUUGGAGAUGGUACGAAGAAUGUGAGGAAGGGUACAAAGAAUGUAGGAAAUUCUCACAUUUUUCGUACCCUUCCUCACAUUUUUCAUACCAUUUCUCACAUUCUUUAUACUCUUGAAAUUUGACAAAUUUUCGAUUUUUCCACUUAAAAAUACAAUAAUAUUGUCUAUCAAUACUAAUUAAGCUUAGAAAUGAUGAAAAUUAUCCUAAAAAAAAUUUUAAAAAAUUAAAACAUUAAAAAAUUGGAAAAGUACGAAGAAUGUGAGGAAGGGUAUGAAGAAUGUGAUGAUUGAAGAAUGUGAGAAAUCCUCAUAUUCUUCAUACUACUUUUCACAAUGUUUUGUACCCCUUCUUACAAUGUUCGUACCCCAUCUCAUAAUGUUUGUACCCCCUCACAUUGUUCGUACCUCAUCUCACAAUGUUCAUACAAUUUCUCAUAAAGUUCGUACCCUAUCUCACAAAGUUUGUACCCCAUCUCACAAAGUUUAUACCCCAUCUCACAAAGUUCGCACCCCUUCUCACAAUGUUCGUACCCCUCUCACAAUGUUCGUACCCCAUCUUACAUUGUUUGUACAUCAUCUCAUAAUGUUCGUACCAUCUCUCACAAAGUUCGUACCAUAUCUCUUAAAGUUUGUACCCCAUCUCAUAAAGUUCGUACACCACUAUCACAAAUGUUGUAUCACAUUUCACAAUGUUCGUACCACAUAUCACAAUGUUCGUACCAUCUCUCAUAAUGUUUGUAUCCCCUCUCAAAAAGUUCGUAUCCCUUCUCACAAAGUUCAUACUACAUCUCACAAAAUUCGUACUCUCUCAUAAUAUUUGUACCCUUUCUCACAAUGUUUGUACCCCAUCUCACAUUGUUUGUACAUUUUCUCAUAAUUUUUGUACCAUUUCUCACAUUGUUCGUACCAUCUCUAACAAUUUUUUGUACCCCAUCUCACAUUGUUCGUACACCCUAUCACAAUGUUCGUAUCCUCUCUCACAAUAUUUGUACAUUUUUUUUUACAUUAUUCGUACCCUCUUUUCACAUUGUUUGUCAUUCUUCUCACAUUGUUUAUACCCUCUUUAACAUGACAUUUCCACCUACAAAAUUUAUAUUUAAAUAAAAAAAAAUCAAAUUUUAACUUUAAUACUUGUAAUCAAUUGGAAUCCUUCAUAUAAUAUCUUUUCAAGAGACAAAAAUUAUUGUUUUCCUUCUUCAAGAUAUAUAAAACUUCAUCUUCAAAUUUAAUCUAUGAAUGCACAAAAUAAUAACAUAAAAAUAUUGAUGACGAUUUCAUAACAAAUGACUAAAUUGUGUCAAAUUGAUUAAUAAUAACUCAUAAAAAAAUUCAAAAAUCUAAAUGUUAUAAAUCAUUACAUAAUUAAAUGUCAUUUAACAUGACAUUUCUACCUACAACAUUUAUAUUUAAAUGAAAAAAAAAAUCAAAUAUUACCUUUUAACACUUAUAAUCAUCUUCCUCAAGAUAUAUAAAACUUCAUCUUUAAAUUUAAUCUAUGAACACACAAAGAAAUGAUAUAAAAAUACUAUAAAAAAGAUUAAAUUAUCUUAAUUUGAUUAAUAAUAAACUCAUAAAAAUGCUAAAAUUUAAAUUUUAUAAAUCAUUGUAUAUUCGGUAUUUAACAUAAUAUUUCUACCUACAAAAUUUAUAUUUAAAUAAAAAAUUAUUAAAUAUUACCUUUGACACUUGUAGUCACUUGAAAUCCUUCAUCUUCUUCAUAGAAUACAAAUUUUAAAUUUUCUUCCAAAUUUGAUUUAUCAAAACACAUCCCACAUAUUUUGUAAUAUGGUAGUAUUUAAUUUUCAUAUUAAAUUAGAUAAUACUUUUUUGUAUAUAUGAAUAAUGAGAUUAUAAGGGUAGUUGAUAAGAUUUUUUUAGAUAGAGUUAGGUAGUUCAUUAAAUAACAAAUUAUAUUUGAUAUUUAAUAAUAAAUUAUGAAAAAAAAAGUCUUAAUAUUUGGAUAUGUAUGAACAUCAAUAGGUUACUUUUUUUGGGUUUAAUAAGUUUUUGUAAAUUUUAUAAUGACAUGCAUUUUAUACGUGUCAUUUUAUUAUAGGGGUGAAAUGUGGGUGGUAACCCGAAAUAAAGAGUGGGUACCAAAGAACAACCCAUGUGUUUAGAAUUUAUAAAAUUAAAAAAACCAUCCAAACGGCACAUUAGUGCGGAGCUUCGAUAAUUGUGGAGGCAGUCACGGACGCCCUGCUCUUCUUUUUAUUCAGCCGUGUGCCAUGGCGGCCAUCGGAAUGCUACGCGUUUCCCCCUUUACUCUCUGAUUGCUGAAGCUUUCACAGCACAAAACCUCUUUCAUUUGGCGUAUGACAUGGAGGACAUCUUGGACGAGUUUGCUUUCGAAUUGAUCAUGAGAAGGAGCUGAUGGGGGCGGAAGCUGAAGAAGCCAGCACAAGCAAGGUGAGCAGGUUCAUUCCUAGUUUCUGUACUUGUUUCAAUCCAACUCAUGUGGUGCGUAAUGUUAAGAUGGGGCCCAAAAUUGGAGAGAUCACCAGCAGAUUACAAGAUAUUUCAGCUAGAAAAGCUGGACUUGGCCUGGAAAAAUUAAGAGGAGCAGCAGCUACUUCCGCUUGGCAAAGGCCACCACCCACUACACCUAUAGCAUACGAACCUGACGUUUAUGGCAGGGAUGAAGAUAAAACACUGGUUCUUGAUUUGCUGCGCAAGGUUGAGCCCAAUGAAAACAAUGUCAGCGUUAUUUCCAUUGUUGGCUUGGGCGGGGUGGGCAAGACUACGCUCGCACGGCUGGUUUACAAUGAUGAUUUGGCCAAAAAUUUUGAACUAAAAGCGUGGGUUUGUGUGACUGAUGUGUUUGAUCUGGAGAAUAUAACAAAGGCAAUUCUCAAUUCGGUGUUAAAUUCUGAUGCAAGUGGGUCUUUGGACUUCCAACAAGUUCAAAGGAAAUUGACAGACACGUUAGCAGGGAAAACUCUUUUACUCAUUCUAGAUGACGUGUGGAACGAAAAUUAUUGUAAUUGGGAUCGUUUGCGGGCUCCUUUGAGUGUAGUGGCAAAAGGAAGCAAAGUCAUAGUUACAACAUGCAAUAAAAAUGUUGCAUUGAUGAUGGGAGCUGCCAAGAAUGUUCAUGAACUAAACCAUUUAUCCGAAGACGAUUGUUGGUCUGUGUUUGAGAAGCAUGCAUUUGAACAUAGAAAUAUCAAUGAUCAUCCGAACCUGGAGUCCAUUGGUAGGAAAAUUGUUGCCAAAUGUGGUGGAUUGCCACUAGUAGCAAAAGAGCUUGCUGGUCGAUUACGCUCAAAGCAAAGGGAAGCCGAAUGGGAAAGCGUAUUGAAUAGCUAAAUGUGGGAUUUGUCAAGCGCGGAAUGUGAGAUUCUUGGUGCGUUGCAGUUGAACUAUCACAAUCUCCCUUUGUUGAAAUUAUAAUCUGACUUAAAGUCAAAUUAGAAGAAUUUUAGGAAUUUGAGAAAUAUUAGGAAUUGUUAUUUAUUUAAGUUUCUUAUGUUAAUCAGGACUUGGGUCUAAUAGAAAUUGAAGUCCUAAUACAAGUAUAAUUAGUUUAUUGUAAAUAGGCUUGUUAUUAUGUUGAAAAGUGAAAUGUAAUAAAAUUUUAUUUUUAACAAAGUUGCAAACAUUAAGGGGUGAAUUUGAGUCUCUUUGCAUGAAUGACUCUAAAUCUAUCUCAGAUUACUUUGAUUAGGUACAAACCAUUGUUAACCAAAUACAGGUUAAUGGUGAAAAGCUUGAUGAUCAACAAAUAGUAGAGAAAAUUAUGUGCUCUUUAAGUGCAAGAUUCGACUAUGCUGUUGCAGCAAUUGAAGAAGGAAAGGAUAAUUGUUCUUCUCCUUGGUCUCCUCCUCAGUUAGUGUAAGCAUCAAAUUUCUACCUCUUUGUUAUGUCUGUGGAUAAUUUUCUGGUUUGAAUUGUAAAGCACACUUAAAUAAUUCAAAGUUGCAGAAGUCUUGCUGGCUCACAACUUACCAUCUCAUUUGGAUUCCCAAGAAAGGAAAUCUGCAACUUGGGAUACAAUGAGCUAUGAUCAUUCUUACAUAUUUAAAGCCUUCUUCAUUUGUAUCAUAUGUUCUGAUGGCAUUUCCUUGUUCUGAUGGCAUUUCCUUUUUCUCAUUAGAUAUACAUGUGGAAGAUUUUUUGACUUCCAUUAUAAGUUUUCAAUAACUAUUGUUGCAUUUCAUUUUAUUUCAAGGAGAUUCAGGGGUGAAAUUCUUUUGCAUGUGUCUUGACGUUUGCCACUUAAAACUCUACAAUGGUGUUUGGUGUUGAAAAAGGGGUACUUCAUUGCAGAAUAAUGAAAGUAUAAAUAGUUCUUUACCAUAAAAAAAAGCUUCAUGGUUGUUAAGAUCCAUCUAAUUCUUUGUCCUUUUCUUGACAUGUUCUUCAAUUUGUGGAAGACGUGGGAGGGAAAGCUUGAAUCAAAUUAAGCCAACUCCUUGCAAAAGACGAAUUCUGGCUAAGAAACCUCACCACUUACAAGCUCUUUCUCAUCCAGGAAUUCUACAGCAGGUAAUUCGAGAUUAUGUCUCAUCUUUGUAUCUCUUGAAGCUGAUGCACUCACCGAUUUCACUCUCAUGUUUUCAUCUGAUGGUUACCAACUCUUCCUCUUCUACACAGCCAUUAUGUGAUAAUAAUCAGAGCUCUGUCUUGCUUGAGUUCAAGCAGAGCUUUCUGAUUGGUCAGCAUGCUUCUGAUGAUCCUUCUGCUUAUCCAAAUGCUGCAGCUUGGAAAUCUGAAGGAGAUGGUAGGUACUGCUGCUCAUGGGAUGUCGGAGAGUGUGACAAGGACACUGGCCAUGUGAUCAGCCUUAACCUUGGCAGCAGCCGUCUCUUGGUUCUAUCAACUUCAGUAGCACCUUCUUCCGCCUUGGGCAUCUUCAAGGGCUUGAUCUCUCUGAUAAUGAUUUCAAUUACUCUAUAUCACUUCUGGAGUUGUCCAGCUUUUGAGUCUAAGAAGUCUACACCACCCCUUUUCCAGAUGCUCCGGCCAAAUCCCAUUGAAGCUCUUACUUAGAACUGUCCAAACUGGCUGUCCAUGAUCUCUCACAAAAUCCAUUGAAGCACCAGUAACCUGACCUGGCUUCAGAUACAGGGGUGAGAAGCAUUUCCUUGUUGCAAUACAAGCUGGUUGUAGCAUUCCUGGUGAAUGGUGAUUUCCCCUGUCAAUUUGGUGCACUUUCAGACUCAAUCACUCUUGCAUGUCAUUGGAGAACCUUAAUAUUUUUUUGUUCUUCCUCAAUAUUUUGUUUUUAGAAAGAUUUUAACUAAAAGUAUCUUGCAAUUUCAUUUGAUUUUUUUUUUUAAAUCCUCUGCAGACCCCUAAUAAUAGGAAUAAGGUGGUUUAUGUUGGAAUACAUAAUUUCUCUUCAAAUCCUUGAACCCAGUGUACCAGUUUUUCAAACAUUCUCUUUGUUAACAGACUUAUGCUAGAAAUAUGAUAGGGUGAUGAUGACCAAGGAACCACUUUGGUGUGGAUUUGGAUAUCAAUCACUAAAAGGUUGGGAUGAUUUCUUUUUCUAGUUUCAUCUGAUUUAGGGUAGAUUAAGAGGUAUCCUUAUGGUAGCAAAUUCUUCUGACCUAAAGCUUAAGCGAUCCUUUGGUGAAACAAACAUAAUCCAGGAACAUUCCCUCUUUCAGUCACUGUUGUUAGCUUUCAGGAAGCUGACAGCAAUUUUUACAGUAAUAAAUAAAUGGUACCCUGCUUCCAUAGUGACCAUGUUAGACUAAGAUUUAAUUCAUCAACCUCUACAGGUGGCUUAUGCAGAGAAGUAAAAGACAUUACUCUGGGGAGGUUCGUUUUCAGGGUUUCUGUGUGGGAUGGAUGGACCUAAACUCGAGCAUUUUAGACCGAAGGUGAUGACUGGAGACUGGAAUCUACUUCCCUUUUUGAAACCUGCGAAGUUACCAUUUUCAAGCAAUUGCAUAAAAAAUAUGUGAGGUUCAUGGUUGAAGUAAUGCAAAUCACUGGGUGCUUGCAUGCUGCACAGAGGUUGUGUUUUCUCAUAAACUUGGAAGGGUCACAUUGUAGUGUCGAUCAUUUCUCAUUAGCAUCUGGCAUUCUUACUCGAUAGUUAAAAAGGUUCACAUUUCAGUUGUGUCUUGUGGAUCAUGGUUUUGGAAGCUAGUCACAACCCAAAAGCUGGAGUGCUUCAUCUAUAUAUGUCCCUGGUGAAAUCCCAAUUCCCAAACAGGGCAUUGUAUAUUGUAUGCCUAUCCUAGAGUUCUAUCAGAUGGAUGGAAAGCAAAUCAUGAAGAAAUAUAAAAACAAGGCUUUCAUAUGUAUAUGGGUUACAAGCUGCUGUUCUGUCAGACAAGUGGUCCAAUAGUCCAGAGGAAGGUGGCUGUUGAGAAUGAAUAUGGAAGAAGAGCAUUUAUAGAAAUUUUGAAGUUCAAAAACUUGAGGACCAGAUUACCUGUAGAACUUGAGAAAAGGACAUAUCAACCACACUCAAAACAGGUGAAAUAUUAUUUGUCUGAUGAUGUUGACUUGAGACAUUGCUCUUAUUGCCAACAAAUCAUUUACCUUCAAUUGGAAAUUCAUAUUCACGUGCUCUAUAAUUUUGUUUGGUUGUAAGUUAAAAAGAAGAAAUUAAAAGAAAAACUCACAUCGUUUGGUUGCGUUUAAUUAUUUUUUUUAGGUUCAUUUUUAAAGUUUGAAAUAAAUUUUUUUUAAAAAAAUAUAAGAAUAGUUUACUGUUGUUUAUUUUUUUAAAAUUAAAAAAGAAUAAAUUUUUUUAUAUAAAAUACAAUAAUUUUUUUUAAGAAUUGCAAUAAAAAAUUAAUUCUCUUAAAAAGGGUUUAAAAAAUUAAUGUGUAUUUUUUUAUUUUCUCUUAUCUUAAUAAUUUUUUAAAGUAAUUUUUUAAAAAAUAGAAAAUAUAUUGAAAGGGUUACUUAGCUUUUUAUUUUAAAUGCUUUAAAACAAAAUUUUAAAAUAAAAGUUAAUAUUAAGCUAAUAAUAUUAUUUCUUAAAUUAUCAACAUUUAAAAUUACAGAAAUCUAUUCAGAAAAUCAUCAAUAAUGAAAAUCACAAUUCACAAGUAUUAAAUGUGUUUAAUAUUUAUAAAAUAAAAAUAAAUAAAUAAAUAAACCAUCCAAACAGCAUCUUAGUGCGGCGCUCCAAUAAUUAUGAAGAGCUGUCAUGAAUGGCAUGCUUUGCUUUUACUUGAGCCGUGGCCAUGACGACCUUGGAAUCCUACGCGUGUUGACCCGUUUACUUCGGAUUGCUGAAGUCUUCACACCACACAAUUUCCAUCCUCCCUUCUCUACUCUCUGCUCUUUGUUUGCCUUUGCUGAACACCAUGGCAGUUGUUGGAGAGGCUCUUCUUUCCGCUGCCUUUGGCUCGUUGUUUGACAAGUUGCGUUGCUCUGAUCUGAUUAAGCUCGCACGGCAGGAGCAUGUCCACACCGACCUCAAGAAAUGGGAGAAGCAGUUGCAGAGCAUCCGGCAAGAGAUCAACGACGCGGAGAAGAAGCAGAUCACACAGGAGGCUGUCAAAUCAUGGCUGUUUGAUAUGACGGUUUUGGGAUAUGACACGGAGGAUAUCUUGGACGAGUUUGCUUACGAAUUGACGAGGAGAAAGCUGAUGGGAGCGGAAGCUGAAGAAGCCAGCACAACCAAAGUACGCAAGUUCAUUCCUAGUUGCUGUACUAGUUUCAAUCCAACUCAUGUGGUGCGUAAUGUCGAGACGGGAUCCAAGAUUAGAGAUAUCACCAGCACAUUACAAGAUAUUUCGGCCAGAAAAGCUGGACUUGGCCUAGAGAAGGUGACAGCAGCAGCAGCUACUUCCGCUUGGCAAAGGUCGCCACCCACUACACCUAUAGCGUACGAACCUGGGGUUUAUGGCACGGAAGAGGAUAAAAAAGUGAUCCUCGAUUUGCUGGGCAAGGUUGAGCCCUAUGAAAACGAUGUCGGCUUCAUUUCCAUUAUUGGAAUGGGUGGGGUGGGAAAGAACGCUCGCGCAGUUUGCUUUGGUGAAAUAUGCUUUUGUUUGGAAGAUAACUUGGAAAGUAAUCGACAAUCCACAAUUUCUAAAGAGACUCGUCAUUCAUCGUUCAUUCUUGGAAAAUUCGAUGUGUUCAAGAAAUUUGAAGCCUUUCAAGAGUUUGAACAUUUACGGACAUUUGUGGCUCUACCAAUUCAUGGUACGUUUACAGAAUCUUUUGUAACUAGUUUGGUGUGAGAUCAUUUGGUGCCAAAAUCUCGACAGUUAAGAGUCCUCUCUUUGAGUGAAUGUAUGAUAUUUGAGCUACCAGAUUCUAUUGGUGGAUUAAAACAUCUGCGUUAUUUGAAUUUGUCUUUCACCCAAAUCAAAUUAUUGCCAGAUUCAGUGACCAACCUCUAUUAUUUACAAACAUUGAUACUAUCCAAUUGUGAGCAUCUUACCAAAUUUAAUUAGCCUUAGACAUCUCAAUGUUGUUAGUUGUUCAUUGCAAGAGAUGCCACAGCAAAUAGGCAAAUUAAAGAAAUUGCAAACAUUGUCUGAUUUUAUUGUGUCCAAAAGAGAAUUUUUGGGAAUAAAGGAGUUGAAGGAUUUGUCACAUCUGCGGGGGGAGAUAUGUAUUUCAAAAUUGGAAAAUGUUGUGGAUGUUCAAGAUGCUAGAGAUGCCAAUCUAAAAGCUAAGCUCAAUGUUGAAAGGUUGAGUAUGAUUUGGAGUAAAGAAUUGGAUGGUUCACAUGAUGAAGACGCUGAAAUGGAAGUCCUUCUCUCUCUACAACCUCAUACUAGUUUGAAGAAACUCAAUAUUGAAGGUUACGGUGGUCGGCAAUUCCCCAACUGGAUAUGUGAUCCCUCUUACAUUAAAUUGGUGGAGUUAAGUCUUAUUGGUUGUAUAAGAUGCAUAUCAGUACCUUCGGUUGGGCAACUACCCUUCCUCAAGAAGUUAGUCAUCAAAAGAAUGGAUGGAGUGAAAAGUGUGGGGCUGGAGUUUGAGGGCCAAGUUUCUCUUCAUGCUAAGCCUUUCCAAUGCUUAGAGUCUUUGUGGUUUGAGGACAUGAAGGAAUGGGAAGACUGGUGUUGGUCAACAAAGUCAUUUUCUCGCCUCCGUCUGUUGGAGAUAAAAAAUUGUCCAAGAUUGAUUAAGAAAUCACCCACACACCCAACUUCUCUAGUAAAGCUCAGUAUUGAGAAUUGUCCAGAAAUGAUGGUUCCACUUCCAACAUACUUGCCUUCUCUUGAAGAGCUCAAUAUCUAUUAUUGCCCAGAAAUGACGCCACAAUUUACAACCAUGAAUUUCUCAUUAUGCUACUGAGGGGAGCUUAAUAUCAGGGCUUUCCAGACUUCAGCCGGAGUUUAUGCCGUCCCUGCUGAGGCUUGAACUUCCAGAAAUUGACAAUUCUGGUCAGUUGCAAUGUUUGUGGAAGGAUGGUUUGGGAAUAGGAAACCUCUCUGGUCUUCGAAUAUUGGGUUGUAAACGACUUGUAUCCUUUGGAGAGGAGGAAGAGCAAGUUAUAAUACAUCUCUUGCAGAGUUGAUCAUCGAGCAAGUUAUAAUGCUUAGAGGUCUUGCUAUUUCUAAUUGUGAAAGUCUAAGUAGUCUACUUGAUAGGAUGAUGAUGAGAAACAGCAGCAACAACGUGUGUCACCUUGAAUACUUGGAGAUAGAGGAGUGUCCAUCUCUUAUUUGCUUUCCACAAGGGCGGUUACCCACCACCCUUAGGCGACUAUUCAUAUCCAUUGUGAAAAUCUAGUGUCUCUUCCAGAAGACAUCGAUGUGUGUUCCCUUGAAUAGUUAAUUAUAAAGAGUUGUCCAUCUCUCAUUGGUUUUCCAAAAGGAUAGUGGGCUGUAAAAAGCUAGUCUCUGAAAGUUUGUAUCAGGAAGAUGAAAAUCUAGUUUCUGUAUAUUAAGAGGAAGAAAUUACAUGUCAUGGAGAGGUUCUCUACUCUGCUAUUUAUAUUUUCUACUGUAACAAACUACGUUACCAAACUCCUACUUGCACAGUUCAAACUACAUUACCAGAUUCCCAACUACUUGCACAGUUCUUGAGUGAUCUUGGUUUUGUUGAGUUCUGUUGCUGGUGCAGUUGUGGUCUAUCAGUCUCUACCAGAAGGAAUAGUGCAUCACCAUUCCAACAACACAACCAAUUGCGGUCUUCAAAUCUUGGAUAUCUUUCAAGGUUCAUCUCUCGCAUCCUUUUCUACUGGCAAGUUUCCCUCUACCCGUAAAUCUAUUACGAUGGAUAAUUGUGCACAGUUGCAGCCAAUUUCAGAGGAGAUGUUUCACUGUAAUAAUAAUGCACUUGAAGAGUUGUUCAUCUCGAGAGUCCCUAAUCUUAAAAUCAUACCAGAUUGCUUCUACAACCUCAAAGAUGUUCGGAUUGAAAAAUGUGAGAAUCUGGACUUGCAGCCUCAUCUAUUGCGAAACCUCACUUCUCUUGCAUCACUUCAGAUCACUAAUUGUCAGAAUAUCAAAGUGCCCUUAUCAGAAUGGGGCCUUGCCAGGUUGACCUCUCUUAGAACUCUUACUAUUGGUGGCAUAUUUCAGGAAGCCACCUCCUUUUCUAAUCAUCACCA